AUUUCACUUUUAAUCCUUGGCUUUUAUCCUCUUUAGUCCAAGGUGAUUUGACUUAAAAAGUCACUUGACCAUAGAAAAAAAAGAAGAUUGGCAGAUAGAAAAAAGAAGAAUACAGCUCUUUGGAAUUUUCUUUCUGGAACGCACAGGUCAAAAUAAAACAAGAUUCUACUUUUUCUUGUUUUAUUUCUUGUCUUUUGUGCAUACUAUCAUUGAGAUUAGCUAGUGAUUUUAAG
This 233-nucleotide unclassified non-coding RNA is filed under the name Hevea brasiliensis (rubber tree). The record is from RNAcentral. Lineage: Eukaryota; Viridiplantae; Streptophyta; Magnoliopsida; Malpighiales; Euphorbiaceae.